ACAGGGCCUUUUUUAAGGAUUUUCCCGUGGGGGGGCAUUUUUUGAAAAGGGACAUUUCUGUGAGAUAAUAUAUUACAGGGAGAUAGCAAUGGCUGAAGGCCACGUGUGCGCCGAACAUACCAUGCACGCAUGAAUGAGGGGGGUGUACUCCCCCAGAAAAUUUUUGAAAUUUGAAACACGGAAAUGCCAUUUCCUGCAUUCUGAGCAUCCAAAUGCGC
Molecule: non-coding RNA, 218 nt
Organism: Paramuricea clavata
Lineage: Eukaryota; Metazoa; Cnidaria; Anthozoa; Malacalcyonacea; Plexauridae
Source: the annotation of a GenBank genome assembly